GGGCCCGCACAAGCAGCGGAGCAUGUGGUUUAAUUCGAAGCAACGCGAAGAACCUUACCUAGACUUGACAUCUCCUGAAUUACCGGUAAUGCGGGAAGCCCUUCGGGGCAGGAAGACAGGUGGUGCAUGGUUGUCGUCAGCUCGUGUCGUGAGAUGUUGGGUUAAGUCCCGCAACGAGCGCAACCCUUAUUGUUAGUUGCUACCAUUAAGUUGAGCACUCUAGCGAGACUGCCGGGGUUAACUCGGAGGAAGGUGGGGAUGACGUCAAAUCAUCAUGCCCCUUAUGUCUAGGGCUACACACGUGCUACAAUGGCGAGUACAACGAGAAGCAAUACCGCGAGGUGGAGCCAAACUUGAAAACUCGUCCCAGUUCGGAUUGUAGGCUGAAACUCGCCUACAUGAAGCCGGAGUUGCUAGUAAUCGCGAAUCAGAAUGUCGCGGUGAAUACGUUCCCGGGCCUU
Molecule: ribosomal RNA, 461 nt
Filed under: uncultured bacterium
Lineage: Bacteria
Description: bacterial SSU rRNA
Rfam family: Bacterial small subunit ribosomal RNA
Source: RNAcentral